GAUGAACGCUGGCGGCGUGCUUAACACAUGCAAGUCGAACGGAAAGGCCAGUGCUUGCACUGGUACUCGAGUGGCGAACGGGUGAGUAACACGUGGGUGAUCUGCCCUGUACUUCGGGAUAAGCUUGGGAAACUGGGUCUAAUACCGGAUAGGACAACUUUUUGGAUAUUGUUGUGGAAAGCUUUUGCGGUAUGGGAUGAGCUCGCGGCCUAUCAGCUUGUUGGUGGGGUAAUGGCCUACCAAGGCGUCGACGGGUAGCCGGCCUGAGAGGGUGUACGGCCACAUUGGGCCUGAGAUACGGCCCAGACUCCUACGGGAGGCAGAAGUGGGGAAUAUUGCACAAUGGGCGCAAGCCUGAUGCAGCGACGCCGCGUGGGGGAUGAAGGCCUUCGGGUUGUAAACUCCUUUCGCUAGGGACGAAGCGUAAGUGACGGUACCUGGAGAAGAAGCACCGGCUAACCACGUG
RNAcentral lists this ribosomal RNA (466 nucleotides) under uncultured bacterium. RNAcentral's name for it is "partial 16S ribosomal RNA". It matches the Rfam family "Bacterial small subunit ribosomal RNA", at positions 28 to 507 of the family's 1533-position model. The record is from RNAcentral.